AUUGAACGCUGGCGGCAGGCCUAACACAUGCAAGUCGAACGGUAGCACAGAGAGCUUGCUCUCGGGUGACGAGUGGCGGACGGGUGAGUAAUGUCUGGGAAACUGCCCGAUGGAGGGGGAUAACUACUGGAAACGGUAGCUAAUACCGCAUAACGUCGCAAGACCAAAGAGGGGGACCUUCGGGCCUCUUGCCAUCGGAUGUGCCCAGAUGGGAUUAGCUUGUAGGUGAGGUAACGGCUCACCUAGGCGACGAUCCCUAGCUGGUCUGAGAGGAUGACCAGCCACACUGGAACUGAGACACGGUCCAGACUCCUACGGGAGGCAGCAGUGGGGAAUAUUGCACAAUGGGCGCAAGCCUGAUGCAGCCAUGCCGCGUGUAUGAAGAAGGCCUUCGGGUUGUAAAGUACUUUCAGCGGGGAGGAAGGGAGUGAGGUUAAUAACCUCAUUCAUUGACGUUACCCGCAGAAGAAGCACCGGCUAAUUCCGUGCCAGCAGCCGCGGUAAUACGGAGGGUGCGAGCGUUAAUCGGAAUUACUGGGCGUAAAGCGCACGCAGGCGGUCUGUCAAGUCGGAUGUGAAAUCCCCGGGCUCAACCUGGGAACUGCAUUCGAAACUGGCAGGCUGGAGUCUUGUAGAGGGGGGUAGAAUUCCAGGUGUAGCGGUGAAAUGCGUAGAGAUCUGGAGGAAUACCGGUGGCGAAGGCGGCCCCCUGGACAAAGACUGACGCUCAGGUGCGAAAGCGUGGGGAGCAAACAGGAUUAGAUACCCUGGUAGUCCACGCUGUAAACGAUGUCGACUUGGAGGUUGUUCCCUUGAGGAGUGGCUUCCGGAGCUAACGCGUUAAGUCGACCGCCCGGGGAGUACGGCCGCAAGGUUAAAACUCAAAUGAAUUGACGGGGGCCCGCACAAGCGGUGGAGCAUGUGGUUUAAUUCGAUGCAACGCGAAGAACCUUACCUACUCUUGACAUCCAGAGAACUUAGCAGAGAUGCUUUGGUGCCUUCGGGAACUCUGAGACAGGUGCUGCAUGGCUGUCGUCAGCUCGUGUUGUGAAAUGUUGGGUUAAGUCCCGCAACGAGCGCAACCCUUAUCCUUUGUUGCCAGCGAUUCGGUCGGGAACUCAAAGGAGACUGCCAGUGAUAAACUGGAGGAAGGUGGGGAUGACGUCAAGUCAUCAUGGCCCUUACGAGUAGGGCUACACACGUGCUACAAUGGCAUAUACAAAGAGAAGCGACCUCGCGAGAGCAAGCGGACCUCAUAAAGUAUGUCGUAGUCCGGAUUGGAGUCUGCAACUCGACUCCAUGAAGUCGGAAUCGCUAGUAAUCGUGGAUCAGAAUGCCACGGUGAAUACGUUCCCGGGCCU
This 1361-nucleotide ribosomal RNA is filed under the name uncultured bacterium. RNAcentral's name for it is "bacterial SSU rRNA". It matches the Rfam family "Bacterial small subunit ribosomal RNA", at positions 28 to 1381 of the family's 1533-position model. The record is from RNAcentral.